UUAACACUUUUACAGGUCCUCCCCUAGUCAGUGGAAAAAAGAUUUGGUACUGAUGAUAAGAGAAAAUCCUUGAUUGCAUCCUUGUGGAGGUACUGUACCAGUGGCAGCUGUCAUCGGUGGAACAGGG
This 127-nucleotide small nucleolar RNA is filed under the name Castor canadensis (American beaver). RNAcentral's name for it is "Small nucleolar RNA SNORA30/SNORA37 family (ENSCCNG00000015224.1)". Lineage: Eukaryota; Metazoa; Chordata; Mammalia; Rodentia; Castoridae. The record is from RNAcentral.